GACGAACGCUGGCGGCGUGCCUAAUACAUGCAAGUUGAGCGCUGAAGGUUGGUACUUGUACCGACUGGAUGAGCAGCGAACGGGUGAGUAACGCGUGGGGAAUCUGCCUUUGAGCGGGGGACAACAUUUGGAAACGAAUGCUAAUACCGCAUAAAAACUUUAAACACAAGUUUUAAGUUUGAAAGAUGCAAUUGCAUCACUCAAAGAUGAUCCCGCGUUGUAUUAGCUAGUUGGUGAGGUAAAGGCUCACCAAGGCGAUGAUACAUAGCCGACCUGAGAGGGUGAUCGGCCACAUUGGGACUGAGACACGGCCCAAACUCCUACGGGAAGCAGCAGUAGGGAAUCUUCGGCAAUGGAGGAAAGUCUGACCGAGCAACGCCGCGUGAGUGAAGAAGGUUUUCGGGUCGUAAAACUCUGUUGGUAGAGAAGAACGUUGGUGAGAGUGGAAAGCUCAUCAAGUGACGGUAACUACCCAGAAAGGGACGGCUAACUACGUG
This 497-nucleotide ribosomal RNA is filed under the name uncultured bacterium. RNAcentral describes it as "partial 16S ribosomal RNA". It matches the Rfam family "Bacterial small subunit ribosomal RNA", at positions 28 to 507 of the family's 1533-position model. The record is from RNAcentral.